UCAAGAGGCGAGAUUUCGUUUGAGUGCACUUUCGCAUUCACUUAAAAUGUAUUCAUUCGAGAUCUGGACUAUUUU
Molecule: microRNA precursor, 75 nt
Filed under: Drosophila virilis
Lineage: Eukaryota; Metazoa; Arthropoda; Insecta; Diptera; Drosophilidae
Description: microRNA dvi-mir-9547 precursor
Source: miRBase by way of RNAcentral